RNAcentral lists this long non-coding RNA (1622 nucleotides) under Marmota monax (woodchuck). The record is from RNAcentral. Lineage: Eukaryota; Metazoa; Chordata; Mammalia; Rodentia; Sciuridae.
CUUUAACGUUAUAGGCCUUAAAGAGAAUGAAUUGCAAAUUCUUAGUGAAGGAAGGUGGAAGUGCUAAAAGCCACAAUUAUAAUCCUCCUGAUCUGAGAUGGAAACACUGUCUCCCAACUGAAAAGGAAUUCUUUAAGCAAAAUGACAAAAUAGUUUUUGAAAGAAGAAUCUAAUUAAAGAAAAACAAUUUGCUCAGUGCUACAUGGAUAGUUGUACUAGAAAUACAUGUGUAAGUUCUUAAUCUUUGUUUCUAUAUUCAUGAAGACAUUUAGUGAAGCUUAAACCUAGUUUUCAAAGAUAAAUAAAAUGAAUAGUGCAAUGGUAAAAUGUAUGCCAUUGCCUAAAGGAAUCCGAAGAGCUCUAUGUGGGGGGUGUAAUUGCCAAUGUUUUCUGACCCUUCAUUGUACAUUUUUCUAUAAUACUUUGAUUUUGACAGAUAAGUUUUCUUUUUUAUUUUGUGACACUCCUCAAAAUGUCCUCUGUCUUUAUAUUCUUUUAAUGUCAUCUUCAAAAAGCCCCAGGAAAGUUAGAAUUUUAUAGUACAAGUGACUCACCUAGUAUCUCACUGUAAAACUGAUUCCAUCUCUUCUCACUAAAUGAUUCAAACCAAAAAUCAAAAUAAAGUAUGAAUAGCAUAUUUUUUACCCAAUCAAUGAAUGUCAUUUGAUCACUUAAUCCUGAAAAUAUAACAGGCACAUAGGAAGGAGGAAAGAGAAGUCCCCUACUAUAUUUUUCCAAUGUGUAAACUGGAGAGAAGCGGAGAGUGUACACAAUGGUUUGUGAAGAAUUUCAGCUAGCAGCUCACCACAGGGACAAAUGGCAUCUGAAAGAAUGACAUCAAACUUUGAUUCUUAUAAUUUUUCCAUAAGUUUCUUGUUCAAAACUGCAUCUCUCUCUAUAUUCUCUACAUAAUCAGAAAAUUGACUCAUAACUUCUUGAGAUAUUGAGUAAUGUUUCCAAAAUGUCACUUUUGGCAUCUCAUAAACCAUUACACUGAUUGAUAUAGUAUUAAGAUUUUGUAAAUUUUCUCUUGACAAUGAUGCUGGAUAGCUCUCAAAUUUAAUUGCAGGUGCUUUGUCACCAUCCACAAAAACGAAACUUGAAGGUCUCAAAACAGUCACCUCAGGCCCCCUCUGUGUGAGCUCCUCCAGUAUUGUCAUUAUAUUGAUCCAAUAGCUGUAUUCCAUUGCCCACACUAGCACCUUUCCACAACUUCCAGAACCAAAGUGACUACUCAGCUAUAGCAGCAGCAGAACCGCAGUCAUUUUCAUAGACAUCCUGGUGAAAUGCAAGGCUUCCUUUCACAUUUAAUUCCUUCUGCUCUUGGUAAUAUCAAGAAAAAAUAAUUAGUUGGUUAAAAUGAAACUUGUAUACAUCAAAGUAAAUACAUGAGUGACAUUUGGGAAUAUCUGGAUGCCAAGUAGAGAAAUUAAAGGUUAGGUAUCUUCAUGUUUGGGUAUGUGUAAUGAUUUUUUCAUGAUUAUAAAUUCUUUCCUGAAGUUAUGAAUUGAUGAUACUGUAUUUGCAAUAUACCUAUCUUAUGUUAAAGAGUUUUAGAAUAGUGUGAAGAAUUGUUGCAAGUGAGGCAACUUGUUUCUUUAAAUUGCUUUGCUGGAACUAAA